UACGAAGGGGGCUAGCGUUGCUCGGAAUUACUGGGCGUAAAGCGCACGUAGGCGGAUUGUUAAGUCAGGGGUGAAAUCCUGGAGCUCAACUCCAGAACUGCCUUUGAUACUGGCGACCUUGAGUCCGGGAGAGGUGAGUGGAACUGCGAGUGUAGAGGUGAAAUUCGUAGAUAUUCGCAAGAACACCAGUGGCGAAGGCGGCUCACUGGCCCGGUACUGACGCUGAGGUGCGAAAGCGUGGGGAGCAAACAGG
This 253-nucleotide ribosomal RNA is filed under the name uncultured bacterium. RNAcentral's name for it is "partial 16S ribosomal RNA". It matches the Rfam family "Bacterial small subunit ribosomal RNA", at positions 524 to 776 of the family's 1533-position model. The record is from RNAcentral.